GGGGUAUUAAAAAGACAGGCCAGAGUUUGAGAUCUACUGCCAACCUCCCUUGCAGAGUUAGGGAACAUUUUACUUGGAAAAAAAAGGUCUUCUCUUCCUGCAGAGAUCCACGGCUGUAUUCUCCUGCAGAGCCUGAGCCCUGCCUGGCAGAGUAGGCAAAAAUACAUCGAACUGCUGUACCCCAGUCUUGACUUCAUACCCAUCUGUGUGGCAUCGUUCAGGAUAUCCCAACGUCUGGCUUCCUCUUCCUUCAAAAAUCCUCUGAUACUUCACUUCAAAGACCCAUCAGGUGCAGGAUGGCUUUUGAUAUCAAUGACCAUUGGAAACAAAGACAACCAGAAGUGUGAACUCACUCUCACCCCAAUAAUUCCACUGUGAUAACACAGGUUAAUGCUGAAAAUAAUUCAGGUCACUGUGUGAAUCUACCAGACCAUAGCAGGUUCUUUACAGGCAUUUCAAUUUAUCAUGGUGUAUUUUAAAAAGUCAGAAAAAUGCCCCUUAAUCUGUAGCUGGGACAGAAAGCUGUCCUAUUGACAAAUUUGAGUUUCACCUACAAACCCUCAACUCGUGUUCCUGUAUGUUCAGCAUAGCUUGGAAAGGAAGAGAGGGGAAAUAAAGGCUGUAGCCAGAUUUACA
Molecule: long non-coding RNA, 636 nt
Filed under: Anser brachyrhynchus (Pink-footed goose)
Lineage: Eukaryota; Metazoa; Chordata; Aves; Anseriformes; Anatidae
Description: lncRNA (ENSABRG00000015917.1)
Source: RNAcentral